RNAcentral lists this ribosomal RNA (439 nucleotides) under uncultured bacterium. Its description in RNAcentral is "bacterial SSU rRNA". It matches the Rfam family "Bacterial small subunit ribosomal RNA", at positions 355 to 776 of the family's 1533-position model. The record is from RNAcentral.
UCGGGAAUUUUGGACAAUGGCCGAAAGGCUGAUCCAGCGACGCCGCGUGCGGGAAGACGGCUUUCGGGUUGUAAACCGCUUUUCACUAGGAGGCCCAGGUUUUUGUGCAUUUUUUGUGCACAAAAAUCUGGGAUACAGUACUAGUGGAAUAAGUCACGGCUAACUACGUGCCAGCAGCCGCGGUAAUACGUAGGUGGCAAACGUUAUCCGGAAUUACUGGGUGUAAAGCGUUCGUAGGUGUUUUGGUAGGUCCUUGAUUAAAUACGUAAGCUCAACUUACGGAAGGUUGAGGAAACCACCAGAAUAGAAGGGUAUCGAGGUAAGUGGAAUUUGUGGUGUAGCAGUGAAAUGCGUUGAUAUCACAAGGAACACCAAUGGCGAAGGCAGCUUACUAGGUAUUACUUGACACUGAGGAACGAAAGCGUGGGUAGCAAACGGG